RNAcentral lists this ribosomal RNA (251 nucleotides) under uncultured bacterium. RNAcentral describes it as "partial 16S ribosomal RNA". It matches the Rfam family "Bacterial small subunit ribosomal RNA", at positions 524 to 776 of the family's 1533-position model. The record is from RNAcentral.
GACGGGGGGGGCAAGUGUUCUUCGGAAUGACUGGGCGUGAAGGGCACGUAGGCGGUGAAUCGGGUUGAAAGUGAAAGUCGCCAAAAAGUGGCGGAAUGCUCUCGAAACCAAUUCACUUGAGUGAGACAGAGGAGAGUGGAAUUUCGUGUGUAGGGGUGAAAUCCGUAGAUCUACGAAGGAACGCCAAAAGCGAAGGCAGCUCUCUGGGUCCCUACCGACGCUGGGGUGCGAAAGCAUGGGGAGCGAACAGG